UGGGAACGCGAAGAACCUUACCAGGUCUUGACAUCCAAAGAAUUCUUACGAAAGUAGGAAGUGCCUUCGGGAGCUUUGAGACAGGUGGUGCAUGGUUGUCGUCAGCUCGUGUCGUGAGAUGUUGGGUUAAGUCCCGCAACGAGCGCAACCCUUGCUAUUAGUUGCUAACAGGUAGAGCUGAGCACUCUAAUGGGACUGCCCGUGACAAGCGGGAGGAAGGUGGGGAUGACGUCAAAUCAUCAUGCCUUUUAUGAUCUGGGCUACACACGUGCUACAAUGGAUGGUACAAAGAGAAGCAAGCCCGCGAGGUGGAGCGAAUCUCAAAAAGCCAUUCUCAGUUCGGAUUGGAGUCUGCAACUCGACUCCAUGAAGUCGGAAUCGCUAGUAAUUGCGAAUCAGCACGUCGCAGUGAAUGCGUUCCCGGGUCUUGUACACACCG
This 439-nucleotide ribosomal RNA is filed under the name uncultured bacterium. RNAcentral's name for it is "bacterial SSU rRNA". It matches the Rfam family "Bacterial small subunit ribosomal RNA", at positions 954 to 1392 of the family's 1533-position model. The record is from RNAcentral.